AAGCUCUUCACUACAAGAUCAAUCCGGUGUGAGAGGACGUCCAACCAGACCCAUUCAGUGCAUGGGGUUUCCUCAGCAUCAACGCGUACGAGCCCAAUGGUCAGGAACCAGCAGGGAGAGAGAUCUGUCGACAUGACGAGUCAUUGCCUAGAUGGGAGUAGGUUGUCCGUAUCGCCCCAGCUCCUAACCGGCGACCAUUCUCGAUCCUCAUAGAUAGUUGAGGUUCUU
RNAcentral lists this long non-coding RNA (228 nucleotides) under Setaria italica (foxtail millet). RNAcentral describes it as "long non-coding RNA (SITA_LNC007051)". Lineage: Eukaryota; Viridiplantae; Streptophyta; Magnoliopsida; Poales; Poaceae. The record is from RNAcentral.